This 676-nucleotide ribosomal RNA is filed under the name Stutzerimonas stutzeri. Its description in RNAcentral is "bacterial SSU rRNA". It matches the Rfam family "Bacterial small subunit ribosomal RNA", at positions 74 to 746 of the family's 1533-position model. Lineage: Bacteria; Pseudomonadati; Pseudomonadota; Gammaproteobacteria; Pseudomonadales; Pseudomonadaceae. The record is from RNAcentral.
UGGAGCUUGCUCCAUGAUUCAGCGGCGGACGGGUGAGUAAUGCCUAGGAAUCUGCCUGGUAGUGGGGGACAACGUUUCGAAAGGAACGCUAAUACCGCAUACGUCCUACGGGAGAAAGUGGGGGAUCUUCGGACCUCACGCUAUCAGAUGAGCCUAGGUCGGAUUAGCUAGUUGGUGAGGUAAAGGCUCACCAAGGCGACGAUCCGUAACUGGUCUGAGAGGAUGAUCAGUCACACUGGAACUGAGACACGGUCCAGACUCCUACGGGAGGCAGCAGUGGGGAAUAUUGGACAAUGGGGGAAAGCCUGAUCCAGCCAUCCCGCGUGUGUGAAGAAGGUUUUCGGAUUGUAAAGCACUUUAAGUUGGGAGGAAGGGCAGUAAGUUAAUACCUUGCUGUUUUGACGUUACCAACAGAAUAAGCACCGGCUAACUUCGUGCCAGCAGCCGCGGUAAUACGAAGGGUGCAAGCGUUAAUCGGAAUUACUGGGCGUAAAGCGCGCGUAGGUGGUUCGUUAAGUUGGAUGUGAAAGCCCCGGGCUCAACCUGGGAACUGCAUCCAAAACUGGCGAGCUAGAGUAUGGCAGAGGGUGGUGGAAUUUCCUGUGUAGCGGUGAAAUGCGUAGAUAUAGGAAGGAACACCAGUGGCGAAGGCGACCACCUGGGCUAAUACUGACAC